RNAcentral lists this ribosomal RNA (310 nucleotides) under uncultured Leptolinea sp. Its description in RNAcentral is "bacterial SSU rRNA". It matches the Rfam family "Bacterial small subunit ribosomal RNA", at positions 1057 to 1382 of the family's 1533-position model. Lineage: Bacteria; Bacillati; Chloroflexota; Anaerolineae; Anaerolineales; Anaerolineaceae. The record is from RNAcentral.
AGCUCGUGUCGUGAGAUGUCGGUUAAGUCCGCUAACGAGCGCAACCCUCGCUGUGUGUUAUAUGUGUCACACGGGACUGCCGGUCUUAAGCCGGAGGAAGGUGGGGAUGAUGUCAAGUCAGCAUGGCCUUUAUAUCCUGGGCUACACACACGCUACAAUGGCCAACACAAUAGGUUGCUAAGCCGCGAGGUGGCGCCAAUCCAUAAAGUUGGUCUCAGUUCAGAUUGUAGGCUGCAACCCGCCUGCAUGAAGCUGGAUUCGCUAGUAAUCGCGCAUCAGCUAUGGCGCGGUGAAUACGUUCCCGGGCCUU